UCUCAGUCCACUAUUCCUGGGGACCUGCCGAGUAAAAUGUUACAUACUCCACUGAAGAGGCACAUUUCACAUAAAAUAUUCAGUCAUCAAGGAGGAAAACUGCAUAAAUAAGUACGCCCCUGCUAGAAGGAAAACACGAUGUGAACUUGUAUCAAAAGCAAACCCAAGAGCAGAGGGGAGGUGUACACUCAAUGCUGCAAGUGUACUUCAAAGUGGCUUCGCUCAACAUUUACCAUGCAGCAUGAAGCCAGGUGUGAAUAACUCCCUGGUGACUACUAGUGAAGGUGAAGGAAUUACACAGAGAAACAGGGCCAGACAGAUUUACAGAUGAAUAUUGUAAGAGACAUUCUCACGCCUGUCAUGACUCAAUAAUAUAGCAACUUAUUUAUCAGCAAUCAGAUUCUUGGGCAGGGUGAGAACAAAGCUAAUAUUUUCCCUAAGUAAAGGAAGAACCUGAUGAUGGUCAAAUAGAGACUAAGUUGCUUCUUCAAUAUUGAUUAUAAAUUAAGGUUCUGAACAAAAUCUUAUGUAAGUAUAUCAAAGAAAAGAAGAACAGUUUUAUACCUGGAAGCUGGCAAUGUUAGGAAGCUGAUUAUUGUAACUGCUAUGAUAAAUAAAUGCCCCCAA
This is a long non-coding RNA of Hemicordylus capensis (graceful crag lizard), 627 nucleotides long. RefSeq lists it as uncharacterized. The transcript is spliced from 3 exons. The record is from RefSeq and is a predicted model, not a curated record. NCBI's taxonomy places the organism in Eukaryota, Metazoa, Chordata, Lepidosauria, Squamata, Cordylidae.